AAAUCUUUUCCCCCAAAGAAAUUAAUUAUAACUAUAUAUUAGGGUAUAUAAAUAUACUAACUAUAUUAUUGAAAAAGUUUUACCAUAAGUUUUAUUCUUGCUUAAAAUAUUAUAUAUCUAUAUAAAUUAUAUGUUUAAUUUUUAAUUUUUAUUUUUCAGUAAUAAGUAUUAUUAAUUAUUUUUAUUUUUAUUAAGUAAUAUAGUUAUACUAGAUUAAAAUUGUGCCAGCAUUCGCGGUUAUACAAUUUAUUUAGUUUAAUAGUUUAGGUUUUAAUUAUUUAUUUUUUUGAAAAUAAAAUUAUUGAAUUUAGGUGGAAUUUAUUUUUUUAUAUAUUUUCUUUUUAAUUUUUAUUAAAUUUUAUUAAUAGACUAGGAUUAGAUACCCUAUUAUUUUUAAUUUAAAUUUUAACUAGAAUAUUAUCAGUUAUUUUCUGUAAAACUCAAAGAAUUUGGCGGUAAUUAAUUAUUUUAGGGGAAUUUGGUUUUUAAUUGAUAAACCACGAUAAAUUCUACUUUAUUUGUAUUUGUAUAUCUCUAUAAUUUGGAAUGUUAUAAUAAUAUAUUUUCUUUUUUUUUUAAAAAUUUAUAUUAGGUCAAGGUGCAGUUUUAAUAAAGUGAAUUUGAAUUACUUUAAUAUUAUAUUUUUUGGUUUUAUUUAAGUAAUAUAAUAUUAAAAUAGAAUUUAAUAGUAAAUAUAAAUUAUUAUUUAUUUUGAAUUUUAUACUAAAUUAUGUACAUAUUGCCCGUCACUCUCAUUUAAGUUGAGAUAAGUCGUAACAAAGUAACUUCACUGGAAAGUGAAGUUAGAAAGU
This 812-nucleotide ribosomal RNA is filed under the name Parafagocyba longa. RNAcentral's name for it is "12S ribosomal RNA". Lineage: Eukaryota; Metazoa; Arthropoda; Insecta; Hemiptera; Cicadellidae. The record is from RNAcentral.